Molecule: ribosomal RNA, 253 nt
Filed under: uncultured bacterium
Lineage: Bacteria
Description: partial 16S ribosomal RNA
Rfam family: Bacterial small subunit ribosomal RNA
Source: RNAcentral
GACGUAGGGGGCGAGCGUUGUCCGGAUUUAUUGGGCGUAAAGCGCGCGCAGGCGGUUCGGAAAGUCGGAUGUGAAAAUCCGGGGCUCAACCCCGGACGUGCAUCCGAUACUUCCGGACUGGAGGCAGGUAGGGGAGAGCGGAAUUCCCGGUGUAGUGGUGGAAUGCGUAGAUAUCGGGAGGAACACCAGUGGCGAAGGCGGUUGCCUGGGGCUUUGCUGACGCUGAUGCGCGAAAGCGUGGGGAGCGAACAGG